AUGUGCAGCAAAGAAGGAUAUAGGUCCUUGAAAAACUUUGAAAGGUCCAACCGGAAAAGGAAACCAAGGGCACUCUCUCGUUGUGGAUGUGACGCUCGACUGCAAAUCGAGCUCAAUAUGGAAAGCCGUGAAUGGUUUGUCAAGGACUUUGUGGACCAGCAUAACCAUGAAUUCACUAAGCCUGACCAGACACCUUUCUUAUGGUCUCAUCGUGGACUUAAUGAUCCUCAAAAGGCUGAUGCCAUUGAGUAUGGUAUUGGUGGUCUACGCACACAUCAGAUAAUGGACGUAAUGGAGAAGCAGCAUGGUGGGUAUGACAAAAUCGGCUGUGUGUCUCGGGACCUAUAUAAUUUUAUUGCUGAGUACAAGAAGCAAAGGAUUGAAGGUUUUGAUGCCCAAUACAUGCUGAACUAUAUGGCUGCGCAGGAAGAGAGAGAUUCUGAAUUCUUUUACAGGUACAGCACAGACAGCGAAGGCCAUCUGCAGAACCUAUUUUGGUCAGACGCGCUGUGGCGGUUGGACUAUGAUGCCUUUGGUGGUGGUGUUGUGUUUGACAGCACGUACCGUGUAAACAAAUAUAACUUGCCAUUUGUCCCAUUCAUUGGAUUGAACCACCAUCGCAGCACAGUUGUCUUUGGGGUCGGCACUGUAUCAGACGAGACCGUGGCAUCAUAUAAAUGGUUGCUCCAUUCAUUUUUGGAGGCGAUGCACCAGAACCAUCCCAGGUCCGUGAUCACUGAUGGGGACCAUGCAAUGGCGAGAGCAAUAUUGCAGAGGAGAGGAGAGAGACAUACGUCUUCGGUGGGUGAUGAUCCUCGUCGACGGCCAGCAGCUGGAGUGCACGCACAUGGGGGAACACCUUUUUUCAUCCACUCUUGA
This 879-nucleotide ribosomal RNA is filed under the name Triticum aestivum (bread wheat). RNAcentral's name for it is "partial small subunit ribosomal RNA". Lineage: Eukaryota; Viridiplantae; Streptophyta; Magnoliopsida; Poales; Poaceae. The record is from RNAcentral.